Gopherus evgoodei (Goodes thornscrub tortoise) is the source of this 133-nucleotide long non-coding RNA. RefSeq lists it as uncharacterized. Lineage: Eukaryota; Metazoa; Chordata; Testudines; Testudinidae. The transcript has 3 exons. The record is from RefSeq and is a predicted model, not a curated record.
UGAGCUGGGAGGAAACAGUUGCUUUGGAGAAAUGCCACGUUCCAGAUAUGAGACUCAGUGAGCUGGUGAAGCUGGGAAGCCAGGGAGUCCAUGUUGCAAUGUGAGGAAGUUGAGGGCAAGAACUCUGAAGACA